GACGAACGCUGGCGGCGUGCUUAACACAUGCAAGUCGAACGCUGAAGCUCAGCUUUUGUUGGGUGGAUGAGUGGCGAACGGGUGAGUAACACGUGAGUAACCUGCCUCCUUCUUUGGGAUAACGCCCGGAAACGGGUGCUAAUACUGGAUAUUCACUGGUCUUCGCAUGGGGGUUGGUGGAAAGGGGUUUUCUGGUGGGGGAUGGGCUCGCGGCCUAUCAGCUUGUUGGUGGGGUGAUGGCCUACCAAGGCUUUGACGGGUAGCCGGCCUGAGAGGGUGACCGGUCACAUUGGGACGGAGAUACGGCCCAGACUCCGACGGGGGGCAGCAGUGGGGAAGAUUGCACAAUGGGCGCAAGCCUGAUGCAGCGACGCCGCGUGAGGGAUGGAGGCCUUCGGGUUGUGAACCUCUUUCGCUCAUGGUCAAGCCGCAACAAUGGUUGUGGUGAGGGUAGUGGGUAAAGAAGCGCCGGCUAACUACGUG
Molecule: ribosomal RNA, 483 nt
Filed under: uncultured bacterium
Lineage: Bacteria
Description: partial 16S ribosomal RNA
Rfam family: Bacterial small subunit ribosomal RNA
Source: RNAcentral